GCGCUGGUCGUAUAAUGGUUCAUUAUUCCUGCCUUCCAAGUGACAGAACAUGUCAUAAGCGUAGCAGGAGACAGGGGUUCGAUUCCCCUCCAGCGCA
Molecule: non-coding RNA, 97 nt
Organism: Ustilago trichophora
Lineage: Eukaryota; Fungi; Basidiomycota; Ustilaginomycetes; Ustilaginales; Ustilaginaceae
Source: the annotation of a GenBank genome assembly